GACGAACGCUGGCGGCGUGCUUAACACAUGCAAGUCGAACGGUAAGGCCCUUCGGGGUACACGAGUGGCGAACGGGUGAGUAACACGUGGGUGAUCUGCCCUGCACUUCGGGAUAAGCCUGGGAAACUGGGUCUAAUACCGGAUAGGACCCUGGGAUGCAUGUCCUGGGGUGGAAAGCUUUUGCGGUGUGGGAUGGGCCCGCGGCCUAUCAGCUUGUUGGUGGGGUGAUGGCCUACCAAGGCGACGACGGGUAGCCGGCCUGAGAGGGUGACCGGCCACACUGGGACUGAGGUACGGCCCAGACUCCGACGGGAGGCAGCAGUGGGGAAUAUUGCACAAUGGGCGCAAGCCUGAUGCAGCGACGCCGCGUGAGGGAUGACGGCCUUCGGGUUGUAAACCUCUUUCAGCACCGACGAAGCGCAAGUGACGGUAGGUGCAGAAGAAGGACCGGCCAACUACGUGCCAGCCGCCGCGGUAA
This 478-nucleotide ribosomal RNA is filed under the name uncultured bacterium. Its description in RNAcentral is "partial 16S ribosomal RNA". It matches the Rfam family "Bacterial small subunit ribosomal RNA", at positions 28 to 523 of the family's 1533-position model. The record is from RNAcentral.